GUGAGUGGAGGACGGCAAGGUCUGGACCCUGGGGGAAGAGAGCCUCUAGCUUCUCCCACCUCUCUCAGAUCAAACACCCUCCCCCUAAGAUUCUCUCUGAUGGGAUGCUGAAAUUACUUACAGUCUGGUUGCAAAGGAGCUAGCCCCAGAACUUGAGUUUCUAGAAGGAAGAAGUCUUUCUUUGGCUACUAAAGCUUAAUGAGGACCAGAUGGAGAAAGACUUUCAGAAGACUAUUGAAGUGGAUAUUGCCUGACAGUUGAGACAUGUCAGGAAACAUGCGGUGUUGGCUUCUGAAAAAGGAUCACCAGCAUUUGGCAUUUGUGAAAAUAAGAAGAGUCCUUUAAACAAUAUAUCAUUGAUAGACUGUCAGAAUCUCAAAAUUCAGUCCCAGGACAGAUACCUGUUUUGCAUCCUAGAGUAGGAAUUUACUAAUUGUAAACUCAAAAAGUAUUGCCCUACUGAGUGUGGUGCAGUUUGUACAAGCACACUUUGUUUUGAAGUGGAUUAUCUAAUUCCCCUGCCUUUGCAUCGGCUCCUUUGAGAGUCCUCACCUCAAAUUUCUGUCUCUAUAUCUGGAAUGUCUCAAAGACCAAAUCAGAUUGUUCCAACCAUUACCUGUCUCUUUCCAUUAUCCAGCUGCUCUUCUGUAGUCAGACCCCAAAGUCCCUGGUGACAUGAAUCUUUGUUUCCUAGAAUAGCAAAGAAUGGGAAGCAGACAUAUCAGAAAGAGAGCCACACUGAACAUUCUCAGGUAUAGAGUCACAAGGUUUUUCUUUAGCGUUGUACACACAGAAUAGAUGCAAAUUUGUAGUUUGGGAAUAUUAAUUCAUAAUUAGUGUCCCUAGCAUUCAGGAAAUAGGGCUUUUACAUCUAAAACAGUCCAGUUUCUGAUAAAGGACAGGUGAUAUAGUAAUAGUAUAGUAUAGUAAAGAUGGAGAUCAUGUCUACAUGGAACACUUUAUGUGUCAUUGAAAAAUCAUAGAGAGAAUUGAGUUAAAUCUGUUAAAAGUGAUUGCAUAUUUUUGAAAUAUUUGAAGAGGAACUUAAAUAAAGAUGAUAAGAAAUUUGGUAAGGCAAUUAUCACAUUUAAUAUAAGAAUGGCCUAAAUAUUCAUCAUAUUAAGCAUAAGCCUUCAAUAAUCUUGCAUUUCCAAUUUACUAUAUAAGCUUUUCUUUGAUACAGUUCAUGUUUUUAUUUAUUAUUGCAACGUCUAUUUGUCAACAGAAAGGCACAACUUAUCCACAUCAAAUGAAUGUCAAAAUGGCACUUUGGUUUAUGACUGAAGCAGUCCCUUGUAAAGCCAUGGCAGGUUGUGGCAUUUCUACUCUAUUGUGGCAGAUACUGCUGUGUACUUGGCCAACACAUAAUCUCCCACAUCUUUGUUCCAUCUGAAACUGUAGCGUCUGGUUUUACAUGGGGUCCCCACCUUCUCAUCAGCAGCAACCUUAGGAAGUGACUGGUGCUUAUUCUAAGCAACGUUGAAAAUAGAUCCCUGUAGCAGUGACUAGUGUAGUAAGAGACAGUUCAAGCAAUGCUUGCUCAUCAUUCAAGGAAGGCAGGGCUGAAUUUAGAGCUGAGGACAGGGGUUGCAGUGGUUUUCUUUUGUGAUCAAAAGAAAAAUUAUCUUUAGGUGCUAAUUUGUGAGAUUUGAAAAGUACAGUUGUUAUUGAGCAAAGAGAAGGGACAGACUAAAGAAUGACCUCUUUACCUGUUGAACAAAAGAAUAAAUAGUGUCUGUUCCUCCCUGUUCCUGACCAAUCACUCCAUUUUCUUGUUAUGGGAGAUAACAAAUGGAUGUUUAAGCCACACUGGCUUGGCUUGAGUAUUAGCUACUUGUAGCCUAAAGCACUGGAAUUGACAUGUUUCUGCAAAGAUGAUUUUCUUUUGCUAGUAUUCUAUUCCGCAUGCUGUAAUUAUCCAUGUAUGUGGAAAGUAAGGAACUACCUUAAAAUGUAUGCUAACCUACCUCUGAAUUUCCAAGUGAGUACAUGUUGUAGAGGUGACAGUUACUCCAUACUGCCAUAACCUCACAUCUUCUCUCUAUAACCUCUAUCAAGACAUCUUUACAUCUCUUCUCCUGGAGAUGUGUAAUGCUACAUUUCCUGUGUUUAGUACUUUAAUAAAUAGAACUUGUGUCAAUGUAUU
Molecule: long non-coding RNA, 2146 nt
Filed under: Mus musculus (house mouse)
Lineage: Eukaryota; Metazoa; Chordata; Mammalia; Rodentia; Muridae
Description: predicted gene 16070
Source: RNAcentral